This 507-nucleotide ribosomal RNA is filed under the name uncultured bacterium. Its description in RNAcentral is "bacterial SSU rRNA". It matches the Rfam family "Bacterial small subunit ribosomal RNA", at positions 14 to 518 of the family's 1533-position model. The record is from RNAcentral.
CGAUUCUGGCUCAGGAUGAACGCUGGCGGCGUGCCUAAUACAUGCAAGUCGAACGAGGUAGCAAUACCGAGUGGCGAACGGGUGAGUAACACGUAGGUAACCUGCCCUUAAGCUUGGGAUACCCAGAGGAAACUUGGCUAAUACCGGAUAACAACAGAGAAGGCAUCUUCUUUGCUUGAAAGGCCCCUUCAAGGGUCACUUAAGGAUGGACCUGCGGCGCAUUAGCUAGUUGGUGAGAUAACAGCCCACCAAGGCGAGGAUGCGUAGCCGAACUGAGAGGUUGAUCGGCCACAUUGGAACUGAGACACGGUCCAAACUCCUACGGGAGGCAGCAGUAAGGAGUUUUCGGCAAUGGGGGAAACCCUGACCGAGCAACGCCGCGUGAGCGAUGACGGCCCUAUGGGUUGUAAAGCUCUGUUGUAAGCCAUGAAUGGUAGCUUGAGGAAAUGCAAGCUAUUUGACGACAGCUUACCAGAAAGCCACGGCUAACUACGUGCCAGCAGCGGC